Molecule: ribosomal RNA, 454 nt
Filed under: uncultured bacterium
Lineage: Bacteria
Description: bacterial SSU rRNA
Rfam family: Bacterial small subunit ribosomal RNA
Source: RNAcentral
UGAGUUUGAUUCUGGCUCAGGACGAACGCUGGCGGCGCGCCUAACACAUGCAAGUCGAGCGGGAAGCUUUUUAAGGAUUCUUCGGAUGAAUUAAAAAGUGGAGAGCGGCGGACGGGUGAGUAACGCGUGAGAAACCUGCCCUAUACAGGGGGAUAGCCAUUGGAAACGAUGAUUAAUACCCCAUAUGACCACAGUAUCGCAUGAUACAGCGGUGAAAACUCCGGUGGUAUAGGAUGGUCUCGCGUCUGAUUAGCUAGUUGGUGGGGUAACGGCCUACCAAGGCGACGAUCAGUAGCCGGCCUGAGAGGGUGACCGGCCACACUGGAACUGAGACACGGUCCAGNCUCCUACGGGAGGCAGCAGUGGGGAAUAUUGCACAAUGGGCGAAAGCCUGAUGCAGCGACGCCGCGUGAACGAUGAAGGCUUUCGAGUCGUAAAGUUCUGUUCUUGGGGA